Microcebus murinus (gray mouse lemur) is the source of this 1983-nucleotide non-coding RNA. NCBI's taxonomy places the organism in Eukaryota, Metazoa, Chordata, Mammalia, Primates, Cheirogaleidae. The record is from RefSeq and is a predicted model, not a curated record.
CUUACUAUUUUUUUUCAGCUUCUGGGCUUUAUACUUGAUUUAAUGGCGUCAAUAGUCCACAAUGUUUUAGAGCUCCAUAGCCAUCUUAAAGCUGAUAUUAAUAUUCCUGGCCUUUGGCAAUGAAUAAUGAGUUAUGCUGCAGAUAACCAAAUUAGGAAAGAAUCUCCAGGGGAAGCCCUAGAAGAAUGGCCUGUGGCAGGGUUCUAGGAGCAGCUGAGGCGCAGCGGCUGUCCAGACAGGGCAGCGUGGCGGCCAUGGUGGCCUGCCUCCACAGGCUUCCACUUACUGAGCAAACAGGUCAGUGACCGAUGCCACCAAAUGCCCCUUGUGGGGAGGUGUCCCAGGUCACACACACAGGAGAUCAGGGGCCCGAAGCGGAACCACAGGAGUGCUCGGCCCUGUUCCCGACAUGGUUUUGUUGGUGGUGACUUAAAGACAGACCAACAGAAAGCCCUUCUGGGGCCUGAGAGAGCUUUUUGUUGUGGUGACCAAGCCCGCUGGCCCGCGCCUCGGUCGUGGUGGUUCGCCAGCUCUGCUGGGAGUCCCGUGUUCACGCAUCAAGGGAAGGAGCUACUUCCCUCCUGGAGCAACGGCACUUGCAGUUACGAGCUGAGCGGAGUCUCCCCGCCAUGGCUCGUGCUCGCCCACUGAUACCGGCGUGCUCCGAAAAGGGGGAGUCCUCUGGCAAAAAUGUCACUUUGCCUGCAGUCUUCAAGACUCCCAUCGACCAGAUGUUUGAACUUCGUUCACACCAACUUGCAUAAAAACAACAGACAGCACUAUGCUGUCAGUGAAUUAGCAGGUCAUCAGAGUCUUGAAGUACUGGCAGGGCUGUGGCUAGAAUUCCCAGAGUUCGAGGUGGUGGGACUCGCCGUUCUGGCCAGGGUGCUUUUGGAAACAUGUGUCGUGGGGCCGCAUGUUUGCACCAACCAAGACUUGGCGUUGCUGGCACCGUAGAGUGAACACCACCCAAAAGCGGUGUGCCACCUGCUCUGCCCGGGCUGCUCCAGCCUGACCAGCGCUGGUCAUGUCUAAAGGUCAUCGUAUUGAGGAAGUUCCUGAACUUCCUUUGGUGGUCGAAGAUAAAGUUGAAGGCUACAAGAAGACCAAAGAGGCUGUUAUGCUUCUUAAGAAACUUAAGGCCUGGAAUGACAUCAAAAAGGUCUAUGCCUCUCAGCGAAUGAGGGCUGGCAAGGGCAAAAUGAGAAGCCGUCGUCGUGUCCAGCGCAGGGGACCCUGCAUCAUUUACAACGAGGACAAUGGUAUCAUCUAGGCUUUCAGGAACAUCCCUGGAAUCACUCUGCUUAACGUAAGCAAGCUGAACAUUUUGAAACUUGCUCCUGGUGGACAUGUGGGACGUUUCUGCAUCUGGACUGAAAGUGCCUUCCGGAAGUUGGAUGAAUUAUAUGGCACUUGGCGUAAAGCUGCUUCCCUCAAGAGCAACUACAACCUUCCCACGCACAAGAUGAUCAACACGGACCUUAGCAGAAUCUUGAAAAGCCCAGAGAUCCAGAGAGCUCUUCGAGCACCACGCAAGAAGAUUCAUUGCAGAGUCCUGAAGAAGAAUCCACUGAAAAACCUGAGAACCACAUUGAAGCUAAACCCAUAUGCAAAGACCACGCGCCGGAAUGCCGUUCUUCACCAGGCCAGGAAUCACAAACUUCGGGGAUGAGGCAGCUGCAGCAGUACGGGCCAAAUCUGAUGAGAAGGGGGAUGGAGGCAAAAAGCCUGUAGUAGUGAAGAAAGGAAAAACGCUUGUUGGUGUUAAGAAGCAGAAAAAGCCUUUGGUGGGAAAAAAGGCUGCCUCUACCGAGAAACCAGCAGCUGAAAAGAAGCCAGCAGAAAGGAAACCUACCACAGAAGAAAAGAAGCCUACUGCAUAAACUCUUAAAUUUGUUUAUUCCAUAAAGGUAAAAUCAUUUUGGACAGCUUAUUUUGAACAAAGACCUGAUCAAAGAGACAGUGAAAAAAAAAAAAAAAAAA